RNAcentral lists this non-coding RNA (31 nucleotides) under Mus musculus (house mouse). Lineage: Eukaryota; Metazoa; Chordata; Mammalia; Rodentia; Muridae. The record is from RNAcentral.
UAGGUCUUUUCCAGCCUUCCAGGCAUCUCUG